GCUGGCGGCGUGCUUAACACAUGCAAGUCGUACGAGAACUCUUCUGCUUGCAGAAGAUAGUAAAGUGGCGCACGGGUGAGUAACGCGUGGGUAAUCUACCUCCGAAUCGGGGAUAACCCGCCGAAAGGCGAGCUAAUACCGGAUAAUAUCUUUAAAACUUAGGUUUUAAAGAUCAAAGGUGGUCUCUACAUGUAAGCUACUGUUUGGAGAUGAGCCCGCGUACCAUUAGCUUGUUGGUAGGGUAAUGGCCUACCAAGGCCG
This 261-nucleotide ribosomal RNA is filed under the name uncultured Pseudomonadota bacterium. Its description in RNAcentral is "uncultured proteobacterium partial 16S ribosomal RNA". It matches the Rfam family "Bacterial small subunit ribosomal RNA", at positions 35 to 276 of the family's 1533-position model. The record is from RNAcentral. Lineage: Bacteria; Pseudomonadati; Pseudomonadota.